This 483-nucleotide ribosomal RNA is filed under the name uncultured bacterium. Its description in RNAcentral is "partial 16S ribosomal RNA". It matches the Rfam family "Bacterial small subunit ribosomal RNA", at positions 355 to 831 of the family's 1533-position model. The record is from RNAcentral.
UGGGGAAUUUUGGACAAUGGGGCAACCCUGAUCCAGCAAUGCCGCGUGAGUGAAGAAGGCCUUCGGGUUGUAAAGCUCUUUUGUCCGGGAAGAAAUCCUCUUGGUUAAUACCUGAGAGGGAUGACGGUACUGGAAGAAUAAGCACCGGCUAACUACGUGCCAGCAGCCGCGGUAAUACGUAGGGUGCAAGCGUUAAUCGGAAUUACUGGGCGUAAAGCGUGCGCAGGCGGUUGUGCAAGACCGAUGUGAAAUCCCCGGGCUUAACCUGGGAACUGCAUUGGUGACUGCACGGCUAGAGUGUGUCAGAGGGGGGUAGAAUUCCACGUGUAGCAGUGAAAUGCGUAGAGAUGUGGAGGAAUACCGAUGGCGAAGGCAGCCCCCUGGGAUAACACUGACGCUCAUGCACGAAAGCGUGGGGAGCAAACAGGAUUAGAUACCCUGGUAGUCCACGCCCUAAACGAUGUCAACUAGUUGUCGGGUCUU